ACUGCGUGAAGUCGGAAUCGCUAGUAAUCGCGGAUCAGCAUGCCGCGGUGAAUACGUUCCCGGGCCUUGUACACACCGCCCGUCACACCAUGAGAGUCGGGAACACCCGAAGCCCGUAGCCUAACAGCAAUGAGGGCGCGGUCGAAGGUGGGUUCGAUAAUUGGGGUGAAGUCGUAACAAGGUACC
Molecule: ribosomal RNA, 186 nt
Filed under: uncultured bacterium
Lineage: Bacteria
Description: partial 16S ribosomal RNA
Rfam family: Bacterial small subunit ribosomal RNA
Source: RNAcentral